CGGUGUGCUUAUACAUGCAAGUCGAACGAUAAGGCACCUUCGGGUGUACAUAAGUGGCGGACGGGUGAGUAACACGUAGGUAAUCUACCUCGAGGAGGGGGAUAACACCGGGAAACUGGUGCUAAUACCCCAUAUGUCAUAAGCUGCAAUGUUUAUGAUGAAAGCUCCGGCGCCUUGAGAUGAGCCUGCGGCUGAUUAGCUUGUUGGUGGGGUAAUUGCCUACCAAGGCGACGAUCAGUAGCUGGUCUGAGAGGAUGAUCAGCCACAAUGGAACUGAGACACGGUCCAUACUCCUACGGGAGGCAGCAGUAGGGAAUUUUGCGCAAUGGGCGAAAGCCUGACGCAGCAACACCGCGUGUGGGAUGAAGCUUUUCGGAGUGUAAACCACUGUCAGAGGGGACGAAAUCUGACGGUACCCUCAGAGGAAGCAUCGGCUAACUACGUGCCAGCAGCCGCGGUAAGACGUAGGAUGCGAGCGUUGUCCGGAAUCAUUGGGCGUAGAGCGUUCGUAGGCGGGCUGUCGAGUCUGAUGUUAAAGCCCAGGAGUCAAUCCUGGUCCAGC
RNAcentral lists this ribosomal RNA (562 nucleotides) under uncultured organism. Its description in RNAcentral is "bacterial SSU rRNA". It matches the Rfam family "Bacterial small subunit ribosomal RNA", at positions 40 to 624 of the family's 1533-position model. The record is from RNAcentral.